Molecule: non-coding RNA, 26 nt
Filed under: Rattus norvegicus (Norway rat)
Lineage: Eukaryota; Metazoa; Chordata; Mammalia; Rodentia; Muridae
Source: RNAcentral
CUUGAGUCAGUGGGCUGAAUCAGGGU